Molecule: ribosomal RNA, 443 nt
Filed under: uncultured bacterium
Lineage: Bacteria
Description: partial 16S ribosomal RNA
Rfam family: Bacterial small subunit ribosomal RNA
Source: RNAcentral
CCUACGGGUGGCAGCAGUGGGGAAUAUUGGGCAAUGGGCGCAAGCCUGACCCAGCAACGCCGCGUGAAGGAAGAAGGCUUUCGGGUUGUAAACUUCUUUUGUCAGGGACGAAGCAAGUGACGGUACCUUACGAAUAAGCCACGGCUAACUACGUGCCAGCAGCCGCGGUAAUACGUAGGGGGCAAGCGUUAUCCGGAUUUACUGGGUGUAAAGGGCGUGUAGGCGGGGAAGCAAGUCAGAUGUGAAAACCACGGGCUCAACCUGUGGCCUGCAUUUGAAACUGUUUUUCUUGAGUGCUGGAGAGGCAAUCGGAAUUCCGAGUGUAGCGGUGAAAUGCGUAGAUAUCGAGAGGAACACUCGUGGCGAAGGCGGGUUCCUGGACAUUAACUGACGCUGAGGCACGAAGGCCAGGGGAGCGAAAGGGAUUAGAUACCCUAGUAGUC